CCUGGCGCAUGCGCCGUGCAUCACGCAAACUACCUGACGCAUGCGGCGUGCAUAAAAGCGCCUUGCGCAGUCAGUUACCUUGAUUCAUUUGAGAAAACGGUGCGAACAGGUAAGUCACGAGGCUUCGUUCUCCGUAUAUUUGAAAUCAAACGCGGUUUAAAUGUAGUAAAUGGCCAGCCAAUUCCCUCUGUUUAUAAAAUAGUUAUAAUUUGCAAAUCUAUUAGUUACAGUAAUAAUGUGUUUUAAUGAUUAUUCUUCUGUGACUAUUAGAUCUUUUGUAAUAAGUGUAACUGUUAGUGUACUGUUAAUUUAAAUGUUGUGUUUAACCAGUAGAGGGCAGUGUCGCGAAAGUAUUCUUUGGACGUUUUAUUUUGAAAAGACGAAAAGCAGUCGUGUUCUUGUUCGUCUUCCUGUUUUGCUGUCUGCUCCGCGGUCGUUUCACCUGAGUUAAUUAUCUGAGAAGUUUCAAGAGGACGUUGUGGCGUUGUGUGUCCGUUGUGGUAGUGAGGAAGCCAUGACAGACGCGUAGCUGUGAGAAGAAGGCGCCAUUCCAGCGUUCCUGAGUGUUAAACAGUUGAAAGCUAAGCAAAUGGAAGACAUUUCUUCAAGUAUGGGACGUUUGGGCUACAUUUGCUCGCUGGUUCUCCUGCUGCUGAUGAUGAACCCCCCCGCAUGUCAGUCACAAGAAAUCAAACAUAUGGAGAAUGGAAGCACAGUUCUCAGUCCAGGAUCAAUUUCUGGUCAGAUAAAGAGUAUUAAGUGGCUUCAUAGCGCUGACAUCAUUGCAGACUGGUUUGGACGUGAAAAGGAGGGCCACCGUCAUUGUAAAGAUCGCUGUGACAUCAACACAGAAACUGGAAGUCUGACCAUCAACAGUUGCAGUAUGACUGACUAUGGGAACUACACUGUAAAGAUCGAGACAAAAACUGGAAAACUGGAUAUCUUUCAUCUGAAUGUGACAGACUGCGGCAAACACACAGUGAAGAAGAACGUUCCAGGAAUCGAAGUCAAACUUCAGUACAAAUGUUUCCUGCUUCAUUUUUUCUGGGGGGAACACAAACACCAUCAUCAUCAUUAUCGUCUUCAUCCUCAUCAUCAUCAUUGCUGUUGCUCUUUCCAUUGGGAUUUAUUGUUGUUACAAACACAGAGAAAGUAAGAAAAAGAUUUUUUUAUUCUUAAACAUUGUUGUAUAAUUCUGAACAUCAAAUCCUAAAUGAAACAUUUAUUUUUGAGACUGAAGAAAUGAUCUGUUCUUUAAAUCCUUUAAACUUUUAGAUCCAGAACACCUGACAGGACGCAUUCGGAGUAGAGGCCUCAGCUGGCUCCGCUCAGUGAAGAACAGCAUGGCAUCCACUCCGAGCUCCUUCCAGGUAACUGAGCUUCUGACCUUAAAUCCAACAGUGCGUCCAGCUACUCUGUGGAGAGAACUCCUUCCAGAAUCAGGAUUUUUCUCCUGUCAGUCGGGAUUUAAGAGCAAAGACUCAACAAUAGAACUAAAACACCUAGAAAAAAUCUCCCUGAAGUUUUGAUCUGUGUUUCUAGAGUAGUGAACAGCUGAAGCAUGAACAUGGGCUCACAGAGUUGCUGCAACCAGCUGAGCUCCCAUUGGUUGAUUGUGGGGUCCAGUCUGCUGCAGGGCCAAACAACCACACCCAGAGAUCAUGCAGAAUCACCGGUUAACCUAUGAAAUGUGUUGGAGGAAACCCAGCCGGGAUUUCAACCUGCUGGGAGAUGCAGUGCUAACCACUUCACCACCGUGCCACCUAACUUAAUUAUCAUUCAUUUACGUUAUAUUCACAUUCACUAAAAAUGUGAAAAAAUAAGUUGACUAAGUUUUGUUUCUGACUACAGAGGGUUUCUACAUCAGCUGGAGACCCGACACCACAAGAAGAGACUGACGAAUCUCAGAACUCGUCUUCAUCACCUUCUGAGGAUGGAGACCAAGUUGGACCUGCUGGCAGAACAGGAAGUCUUUCAUGUUCAAUCACAGUUUCUAACUAAAUGUAGCUUUUAAAGGAGAAAACUUCUGCUAGAAAGCAGAACAACUUCCUAUUUAUUUGAUGCUUCCUUAAACUAACCAAACUUGUGUUUACAUGAAGGUCUUUUUCUAACAAAAGUUAGAAAAAAAUGUGUUUAUAUAAAAAACAGUUUGAUAACUUGAAGCUUUAGAAGUGACUGUGGGAGAGCGGCAACUUCUGACUAUAAGGUCACACACUCCAGCUUUGUUUAGCUUGGAGGUCAUUAAUAGACCCUUUUCAAGUGACAUCAUACAAAACGAUAAGUGUGCAGAGUGACUUCUAGAUCUGUUAUGUCUACGGCAAAGCUGACGGCUGAACGCUGUUUAAAGCAAUUUUACGUAAAUAAUGACAGGAAACUUAAAUCUGUACAAUAUUUAUUUUAUAAAUGUUCUAGCUGGUUUUUCCCUCUUAGAUCUAAUGUCAGAAUUCCUCCUGCAGAACGCUCCACAGCUGCGUCUCUAAAAUCCUCUGGAUGAUAUUAAACCAUCGUGGAUUAUUUCUCUCUACAACCCGGUCAUAGUUAGAUGGAGGUUACAGGAACUUCAUUGAAUUCUGCUGUUUGAUUGUGAAGGUCAUUCAGAUUUUCUUCUUCUAAUUUAUGCUAACGCUAAUGCUAGCUUCCCAGGAUGGGAAUGAGACAAAAGAUCUGCAGAAGAUCUUUUCUGUCCAGUUAAAGUUGCUUCAUAAAAUCACUAAAAAUAGAGCUUAAGUCAGACAAUUUCAACAAGAAAAACUAAUUAUUUUCUGACAUAGCUCCUCUUUGCUGUUGCUCAUAACCCUGUCUGAUCCUGCAGGAUAAUAAGGGGAAACAAGGAUUAAAUUCAUUUAAAACAGUUAAAAAAGAAAAAAAAAAUUCCUAUUAAAAGCAUUAACUGUUAAAAUACCUGGAAAAACAACAAACAACUCUUAUUAGAACAACUGAACGUGGCCUUGGGUUUAAACCCCAACAUGCUUCGAUGUGCAUCUAUUGCAAUGCGCCCAUUUCAUGUGACCAACAUGAAUUUGCAUCAGUUUAUGUGCUGAUCACACUUAAAACCCGUGGGAAUGACAUCGAGCAAAAUAGAACCCAUUAGAAUGGGUUCUAUUUUUAUCUAUGUACAUAUUUCUGUUCAAAUUGGUGAGGUUACCCUUUAUUAUUUACAUAAAAUUGUGUCAAACAGCGUUCAGUUCAAUGUUUUCCCGGUCUAUCUAUGAACCCGGAGGUUACGUAUCACGCUCACGUAUCCUGUCGCCGUUUUCUUCGAUAUCCCCGUAAAUAAGCUCUACUGACUGUGAGGAGUUACCAAUUUGUUUUUGUGUGUGAAUGAAACUUUAGGAUGUUUACACAUUUGGUGUUUCUUUGCCAAAUCGUGCAGCUGCUAUAGCAACUCCAAGCUAGCGCCUGGCACCGCCUCUGAGGUCAAAGGUCGGGUUCCAGCCUUGCCCCAUCCCUGUGCUACUGUAAAUCCCUGUGGCCAGAAGGGGGGGGGGGGGGGGGGGGGGGGUGUUAUAUGUUUUUUUUUUUUAACAUUUCAGGAAUGACCUUCCUAAAGUAUUUUUCAAUGCUCUGUUGAAUGUUUUGCACUUUGCUUUUAUAAUGCUAGUGAAAAACAAAGUGCACUUUAAUAUUAGCCAAUGCUUCAAAAGCAUAUGUGCCAAACAAAAAAAAUGUAUGUGCUAAAACAUUACGCAUACAAAAAAAAAAAAAAAAAAAUUGGUGGUGGAGGGGGGGGGGUCUUAAAACCAGUGGGGUCUGGUUGUUGCGUUUUUGUGUGAAAACUCAAAGUAUUUUCUUAAAAAUGAUUUUAAGAAAGUUUUUUACAUUUCUAAUUUUAUUUUGUAAACAGUGGUGUUUCCACUGAGACUGAGCAUUAUUUCUAUGAAGAUGAAAAAUGUGACACAAGAAGUAUGAAGCAUUUCUGUUGUAUACAUUUAAACUUUAAGGAAGAUAUGUAUGGUUUUCUUCUUUAAACUACAUUUUGAACUAUAUCUCCAAAUCUAUUAAAAACAGAAUUGGAGUCAAACUCUUAUGACUUAUUUUCUGUUUAGUUUAGUGUUUAUGUUUUUUUUUUUUUUUUUUUUAACCUUUAUUUUACCAGUAAAUCCCAUUGAGAUUAGAUCUCUCUUUCUAGGGAGACCUGGGCCAAAAGGCGAGCUUCUGUUUGAUCAGGUCAAGUUAUAACAUUUUCAGGUUGAUCAUUGUUACUCAGUGUAGCGUGUCAUGCAUUUUGUUUCUUUGUAGACCAUACACAUUGUCAAAUGAGUAACUGUAAAUCCCUGUACACAAUCUAAAUGUUAUCAUCCU
Long non-coding RNA from Oryzias javanicus (javanese ricefish), 4302 nucleotides. Lineage: Eukaryota; Metazoa; Chordata; Actinopteri; Beloniformes; Adrianichthyidae. The record is from Ensembl.